GCGAGGGUAGCCAAGCCAGGUCAACGGCGAUAGGUUCAGGGCCUAUUCGUGCAGACGUUCAUGGGUUCGAAUCCCACCCCUCGCA
Molecule: transfer RNA, 85 nt
Filed under: Methanoregula sp. PtaB.Bin085
Lineage: Archaea; Methanobacteriati; Methanobacteriota; Methanomicrobia; Methanomicrobiales; Methanoregulaceae
Also listed under: 1 other name
Description: tRNA-Ser
Rfam family: tRNA
About the family: Transfer RNA (tRNA) molecules are approximately 80 nucleotides in length. Their secondary structure includes four short double-helical elements and three loops (D, anti-codon, and T loops). Further hydrogen bonds mediate the characteristic L-shaped molecular structure. tRNAs have two regions of fundamental functional importance: the anti-codon, which is responsible for specific mRNA codon recognition, and the 3' end, to which the tRNAs corresponding amino acid is attached (by aminoacyl-tRNA synthetases). tRNAs cope with the degeneracy of the genetic code in two manners: having more than one tRNA (with a specific anti-codon) for a particular amino acid; and 'wobble' base-pairing, i.e. permitting non-standard base-pairing at the 3rd anti-codon position.
Source: RNAcentral